AACGAACGCUGGCGGCAUGCCUAACACAUGCAAGUCGAACGAGACCUUCGGGUCUAGUUGCGCACGGGUGCGUAACGCGUGGGAACCUGCCCUUAGGUUCGGAAUAACUCCCCGAAAGGGGUGCUAAUACCGGAUAAUGUCUUCGGACCAAAGAUUUAUCGCCUUUGGAUGGGCCCGCGUUGGAUUACCUAGUUGGUAGAGUAAAAGCCUACCAAGGCGACGAUCCAUUGCUGGUCAGAGAGGAUGAUCAGCCACACUGGGACUGAGACACGGCCCAGACUCCUACGGGAGGCAGCAGUGGGGAAUAAUGGACAGGGGGCAGACGCCUGAUCCAGCAAUGCCGCGUGAGUGAUGAAGGCCUUAGGGUUGUAAAGCUCUUUUACCCGGGAUGAUAAUGACAGUACCGGGAGAAUAAACUCCGGCUAACUCCGUG
RNAcentral lists this ribosomal RNA (433 nucleotides) under uncultured bacterium. Its description in RNAcentral is "partial 16S ribosomal RNA". It matches the Rfam family "Bacterial small subunit ribosomal RNA", at positions 29 to 507 of the family's 1533-position model. The record is from RNAcentral.